GAGCCACAUCUGCAGCCCUCCUGGAACUCAGUCUGGUGAAGGAAACAGAAGAAGGAAUAGAGGCAGCUCUGCUGGUGGGGAUUGGGGCUGGGUCUCCAGAACAAAGGCAGAGCCUGCUGUAUGUAAAUGGGAGGAACAAAGCUGGCAGGUAUCUGAUGAGGGGACAGAGAGUUCAGGGAAAGUAGGAGAUGGGAAGGCCAGCUGGCCAGGCAACUGGGCCCUCAGGGAGGAUCUAAUAGGUUGCCAAGGGCUCCAGGAGCCACUGACAAUGAUCAAGAAGGGAUGUGAGUGACACAAACCAGGUUGUUACCUUAUUUUCUAAAGUGCCUUGAAUCCUCUGUUUGACUUAAUGAAACAGUUGAGAAUUCAGGGAGUACAUCCUUGGUUUCAUAUAACUUACAAUUUUAUAGACACAGAAAGUUCCUUGGAUUAGUCCAAUGUCACUCCACCAGAUGAGAUUUAAUGGCAGGGCUGGGAUGGGAACUGGGCUACUCAGAUCUGACUCCUGGGGUCUGACCUCGUACUUAUUGCCUGCCCUGCACCUCCAGAUGAUGCCCUCUGGCUGCACGCGGGACCACCCCACAAUGAAUACUUGGAGCAGAGUUUCCAGGGCCUGAGCGGCAUCCUGAAUCUGCCUCAGCCAGAGCCUGUGGAGGAGGCCGCCCGGCGGCGCGCAGAGCUUACAGGUCCUGCUCUGGAGGCCUGGACAGAUGGGGAACUGAGCCGCUUCUGGUCUGUGGCAGGACUGUGUGCCAUAGGCCCCUCUGCCUGCCCCUCCCUGGAUCGCUGCAGACUGACCAGCUGGAGCUCUCUGUCCCCAGACCCCAAAUCAGAGCUGGGGCCUGUCAAAUCAGAUGGGCGACUCAGGUAGCAGGGCCCCAGCCAGCACACCCGGAGAACCCGGGAAUUGCACCUUACAGACAAUGGAGGGCUAUCCCCUCCCACAGGCAGGAACCAGAGGCCCCCCGGGGGUACACCACAUCAGCCAUCCAGAGCCCGCACAGAGGGCAGCCAAGGUGGGCUAAUGUCUCUGCUAGGGACCAGAGGGUUGACAGGAAGGGAGAAGGGCUCCAGCAGCAUUCCGAACCCAACUCUUCCUCCCCCUCCUCUCUAGUUUGUUUGUUAUUUUUAUUUAAAAUGGGUGUGUGGGGGAGGAACUAGAAAUAAAAGAUGUGCAAUAGGGCUCAGAGCAGCCCCAGGAAGUGGGCCAUGGCUGGGCGGAGCGGGGCCUUUUGAGCCCAUCUGCUACUGCUCUGGAGAAGCUGGGUCUGCUUCGCUCUCCAGGGCUGGGUCCCCCAGCCUGGGCUGUGGUGCUCAUGGCUGAGGCCCUGCAAGGGUACAGGUACCCUGCCAGCUCUGAGGCCCAGAGAACAGGUGUUCAGGAGCCACCGUGGAGCUGGGCUCUAGAGGGAUAGCCUCUCCCCUGGUAGCCAGGGGACCCUAGAGCAGUGAGGGAGUCUGGCUCUAGGACUUUCUAGCACACCCUGCCCCUUGAUGGGAAAGGCAGGGCAUCAGGGCCUGCUGAGACCAUUACAGUUUCCCAGGUACUCCCAGGUGUGCCCUGGGGCAGUGAGCCUCAUUAGCAGUGUGGGAAGCUUGUCAGGGGCUCAGAAGAACCCAGAGUCGCAUUGUGCCUGAAGCUCGGUGUGAAGUCUGAAAUAUGCAACAGAAGAAAUAUAUCUCUAUCUCUCUAAGCAGCCUC
RNAcentral lists this long non-coding RNA (1702 nucleotides) under Marmota monax (woodchuck). The record is from RNAcentral. Lineage: Eukaryota; Metazoa; Chordata; Mammalia; Rodentia; Sciuridae.